This 68-nucleotide transfer RNA is filed under the name Nepsalus petrophilus. Its description in RNAcentral is "tRNA-Cys". Lineage: Eukaryota; Metazoa; Arthropoda; Insecta; Neuroptera; Myrmeleontidae. The record is from RNAcentral.
GGUUUUGUAUUCAAUAUAUGAUUUUAAAUUGCAAAUUUAAAGGAGGGUAAUUACUAGCCCCAAAACUU